AAAGUCGUAACAAGGUUUCCGUAGGUGAACCUGCGGAAGGAUCAUUAUCGAAUGAAUGUAGAGUCGGUUGUUGCUGGCCCUUUCGGGCAUGUGCACGCCUUCUCUUUCAUCCACACACACCUGUGCACUUGUGAGACGGAAACCCCUCGGGGUGUCCGUCUGCUCUACAUAAACUCAUUAAUAUAUAAACUGAAUGUAAUCGAUGUAACACAUCUUUAAACUAAGUUUCAACAACGGAUCUCUUGGCUCUC
Molecule: unclassified non-coding RNA, 251 nt
Filed under: Basidiomycota sp.
Lineage: Eukaryota; Fungi; Basidiomycota
Description: partial contains small subunit ribosomal RNA, internal transcribed spacer 1, and 5.8S ribosomal RNA
Rfam family: Eukaryotic small subunit ribosomal RNA (bases 1-47)
Source: RNAcentral